Molecule: non-coding RNA, 1472 nt
Organism: Podarcis lilfordi (Lilford's wall lizard)
Lineage: Eukaryota; Metazoa; Chordata; Lepidosauria; Squamata; Lacertidae
Source: the annotation of a GenBank genome assembly
AGAAAUUUACCGCAGUGGGAGGUACAGCUGGAAGAGGCAACAUGUUAUAAAUAGAAUAUUUUUUAAUUAAAAAAUGUUGCCUACUGCAACAAACUCUUAAGAGUUUCCUGGAAAGGUGGUUGAACUGUUAAAACCACUGGGAUCUGUAACUCUGGGAGGUGAAUAGGGGUCUCCUAACAGCUCUCAGCACCCUUACCAAGCUACAACUCCCAGAAUUCCUCGGGAGAAGCCAUGACUGUUUAAAGUGGUUGCUGGUUCAAGGAAAAGUAAUUUAUUCUAGAUUCGCCCCCCCCCCCCAUGAAACAAAUAGAAUUAGCCGGUUGCCACUUCUUAAACACAGAGAAGGAAAUAGAAAUGGGCAAAACCUGGAAAAAAAAUUAUGAAAACUUUGGAAGAAUAGACAUUUUAAUCACAGCUAUCCUGCUAAUCCAACUGAGAUUUAAAUGUUUCCAUUUCGGCAAUUCUUCAGAAAUACCUUUGAGCAGGUGCUUAUAGUUUCUGCGACUAAGCUGCUUAUGAUCUGAUGUUAACUUGAUGCCAAGAUAUUUAAAGCCACCGUGAGCAGUGCUAAAUUCUAAUUGCUAAUAUGUAUUUAUUUCAUAGAAUCAAGAGUUGGAAGGGACCACGAGUAUCUUCUAGUCCAACCCCCUGCAGUGCCCAAUGUGGAGAUCAAACCCAUAGCCCUGAGAUUAAGAGUCUCACGCUCUGCCAACUGAGCUAUUUGCAAAGUGCCCUGCGAUAUUAGUUGCUCAUGAGUCACUGUGGCCAGAAUUUGGUACAAAUAUGCAGGCCAGAGUGAAAUCCAUAGCACAACUGAGCCUCUAACAAAAAUCUGCCAUUUGGUUCUGCUAUAGAAUCUCUUAUCUGAAAUGGACAUUGUUUACAGAAAAGGAUGGCCACUUUUGGAAGAGGCAAGUUCAGACAGUUGCUCACUGAGCCAUCGUCCCUUUAGUAAUGGUGACUUUGAGGAUUUCCAUUGAUGAGUUUCCUGUAACAUAAUUACUGUAUGACUGGGUGCUCUCCCCAUAGUUUGACCUCUUUCUACUGCUGAGCCCAGGCCUUUAACAAUGAAUGAGAGGGUUUUUAAGGAGCGCUGUCUGUGCUGGGAGAUCAGCAAAUUGUUUUGCAACUGUGACAAAGCCUGAACAGCUUGUAAGCCUGGGCCUUCUGCUAGAUACUGGACUAACAUACCAUACUUUUCUGUGUAUAAAACUAUGUUAUUAUCUUUAAAAAUCACGCUAAAAAGUGUGGGGGGGGGUCAUCUUAUACAUGGGUAGUGCAUGGGGUGGAUGUUUGAUUGGUUGCUGCUGCGGCUGUCAUCGGCUACUGUACGUGUUAUUUGUUGCUGUGUCAAUGGGUGGUAUUGAUUGGCUGACGCUCUGGCAGUUGGGCAGGCGAUUCACAGCUUCUGCCGGUGAUGGGACAGACGGGAGGCAGAUUUUGCGACAUGUGCGAUUUUCGGCAUUCCCCCC